AAUGAACACAUGGUGAUAAAAACAAAGCUAUAUGUUAUUUCUUCUCACCUUUGUCGAGAAAAAAGAAAGAAACUAAGGAAAGAAGGCUUUGGAUAAUCGACCAUGGAGGUCUAAAAUUCAAGAUCUCAUUUGGAAGCUAUAGACUCGGGGAUCGUCAGCAACUUGUUACACUAUCACUAUCCACUGCUUGGUACUGUUAUGUUUUGGGUUAUUUUAUGGCAUGUGUAGAAUAGACCAGUGGCAGAAGAAUAUUUUGGUUAAUGUAUAUAAGCCAUGCGAAAAUGGCAUCUUUUGAAUGUGUACUUAUAGAAGUUUAAGUUGUAUCCCUGGCUGUCUUUAGUAUUUAUCUAAAUGAAUGUUCUUUAUUUCAAAAAAAAAAAUUCAAAUUUUUUUUUCUGUUCUGAUAUGAGUUUCAAGUCCGGUAAUGCCCCUUUACCUAUUCCGGCGACGGAUACGGGAUAGGGGUGUUACAAUCAGGUUUAGUAAUAAGGCACAAAAUCUAUUCCAUAAUUAUUAUCUUUUUCUCUUUCUAUAAAUUAUCAUUGUCAAA
This is a long non-coding RNA of Gossypium arboreum, 550 nucleotides long. RefSeq lists it as uncharacterized. NCBI's taxonomy places the organism in Eukaryota, Viridiplantae, Streptophyta, Magnoliopsida, Malvales, Malvaceae. The transcript has 2 exons. The record is from RefSeq and is a predicted model, not a curated record.